ACAUACAUCAUGCAUGUCCGGUUUAUGAGGCUCGCACAUACAUAUUGUAACAUGGAAACAGAAGGAAAAGGGAGGUAAGAAAAAGAACAGCAGUAGCCUUGAAUUCCAAAGGGGAACUUAUAAGGUGUUCCGACAAAAGAAUUACUCCCUCCAAUGCAUAUUAUUUGUUAAAAUAUUACAUUUAUCUAGACGUCUUUUAAACAUAUGUACAUUCAUAUUUGGGCAAAUUUGAGUAGUUGAUUUCUGGCGGAUGUUCAUAGAAAACAUAAGAAUAAGAAUGUACUACCGGUUACCGAAUUACAUCCCAUUCAAUAGGGUAGGUUGUCUUUUCCAAACAAAAUAAAAAAAAUAGGGUAGGUUGUCGGGCUUUGUUUAGUUUAGUUUAAGCUUUCACUUUAAAGGGCACACAAUCUGUUGAUGCGAUG
Molecule: long non-coding RNA, 425 nt
Filed under: Brachypodium distachyon (stiff brome)
Lineage: Eukaryota; Viridiplantae; Streptophyta; Magnoliopsida; Poales; Poaceae
Description: long non-coding RNA (BDIS_LNC006039)
Source: RNAcentral